ACAAGAAAACAAAGACAACAAUAAACGGUUUACGGCGCUCUCGAAGCCACCCGCUGUUAAAAAUGCACGGGGAUUGAUCAGCUGGGCUGUUCUUAAAUUGAGGUAAAAACUAAUUUACACAAUGUACACAUGUAUGUACCAAUUGAAGAGCAACUGCGGGGAUCUAAAAAGUCCACCAUUGUACCGGUGGUAGCCACCUUCGUCUUUUUGAGAAGAAUAUCUUUACUUUUGGAGUGUUGGUGACGAGCUAACGCUAGCGACGAGCUAACGCUAGCAAAGAGCUAACGGCUAGCAAAGAGCUAACGCUAACGACGAGCUAACGGCUAGCAACGAGCUAACGCUAGCGAGGCCUACAUUGGACCACAAAGAAGAAGAGCGCAACGAGGACCAUGAAGAUUUUGACGAUUUAGAAGACGCUGGACUUCAACUUGCUCAACUCCUGCCGGGUGAAACACUGCAUCGACAUUGUGAGUAUAAGAAAGAGAAGGCGGAGCGUGUUGCUCAGGGGGGCCUCGGUUGCACGAGAGCGACGAAAACUUGCCGGUUCCCGUGCGCAUCGGUGACCUCGCCUGAGGAGGAAAUCGGCAAGGCAUCAAGCCACCGGAUUUGGACCGUCUCCUUGCGUGCAAGUUGGAAUUAAGCCUUCGAUGCCCUUCUGACGGCACUGGCGUCUUCAAUGACACCGAUAUUUACUAUUUACAACUAUUUAAUGACUGGGGCAGGCACGGUGGAGCAGCUGGUUAAGCGUCGGCCUCGCAGUUCCGGGGACCCGGGUUCGAUCCGGGCCCCGCCUGCGUGGAGUUUGCAUGUCCUCCCCCGUGCCUGCGUGGGUUUUCUCCGGGCACUCCGGUUUCCCCCCACACCUCAAAAACAUGCAACAUUGAUUGGACACUCUAAAUUGCCCCUCGGUGUGAUUGUGAGUGCAGCUGUUUGUCUCCAUGUGCCCUGGCGACCAGUUCAGGGUGUCCCCCGCCGAAUGCCCGUUGACAGCUGAGAUAGCCUCCAAGCACUCCCCGCGACCCUCGUGAGGAUAAGCGGCAAAAGAAAAUGGAUGGAUAUUUACAGAUUAGUUUUUGCAGCCCUGUUGGCGCUGCGCUAACGUGUUGCUGCUGUGUUACUGCCGUGUCUCACUGAUUAAGAAAGCCAGGCAGACGGAUGCUCCGCGGAGGCCGCGAGGAGAGAGGAGAACGAGAUGCUUGGCGAGGAGGCGAAGCGUUUCAGCCAGAGGGAUUUUAAUCCCUGUCCUGACAGGUCGCUUUUUUUUUUUUUUCCAGGUGAGAUGAUGGAUUUUCUUCGUCUCGAAGCGAUGUAGCAGCCAGACGUAGUGUUGUAUUAAUAGCCGGUGACAGGUCAUCUCUGGGGCGUGCUUCGAGUUAACGUCAGCUCGUGUGAGCUUCAUCCUGAAGCCUGUUCAUCUAAUUUAAAAAAAAAAAAAUGAAAAUCUACAAAAGAUGAAGUAGAAAUCGUGGAGGGGUCUGAAAUUUUCAUCGUAGGUGCGUGUCCGCAGUGAGAGAGAAUCUAAAAAGAAAAAUCCAGAAUUUUUUUUUUUUAAGUUUAUUUGCGUGAUACAACUGUCAUGAUCCUGCCGCUCCAGCCCGGGCUGUGCGGGUGCCCGCGCGGGUGCGCUGAUUGGGAGGCGCACACCUGCGCCUCACGCAGCCUGAUUAUGCUGUGGAUUUAUAUGACCCCGACGACGACUGGCCGGCGCCAGUUCGUAUGAUCUUCAUGUCCCGUUCGUGUGCUCCGGUAUCCCUGAUCGAACCUUUGUGUACCGACCUUCGCCCGUUCUCCGACCACCCUUGUAAGCCCGACUCCUUUGAUACUUCUGCCUGCCUUGAUCGUUCUCCCGUGUACCGACUCCUGCUUGCCCGCUCACCUGCUCUCUUCGCCCGACCUCCCAACUACCGCCGCUGCACCGGACUGCCUGCUCGAUCCCCGACCUCUGCAUAUAAUAAACGUGUCUCCUUGAACUACCUUGCAUCUUCCG
Molecule: long non-coding RNA, 1987 nt
Organism: Syngnathoides biaculeatus (alligator pipefish)
Lineage: Eukaryota; Metazoa; Chordata; Actinopteri; Syngnathiformes; Syngnathidae
Exons: 5
Source: RefSeq, a predicted model, not a curated record